AAUCUAGCAUAUCAAUAAGCGGAGGAAAAGAAACUAACAAGGAUUCCCCUAGUAACUGCGAGUGAAGCGCGAAAAGCUCAAAUUUAAAAUCUGGCGGUCUUUGACCGUCCGAGUUGUAAUCUGGAGAAGUGCUUUCCGCGCUGGACCGUGUACAAGUCUCUUGGAAUAGAGCGUCAUAGAGGGUGAGAAUCCCGUCUUUGACACGGACUACCAGUGCUUUGUGAUGUGCUUUCAAAGAGUCGAGUUGUUUGGGAAUGCAGCUCAAAAUGGGUGGUAAAUUCCAUCUAAAGCUAAAUAUUGGCGAGAGACCGAUAGCGAACAAGUACCGUGAGGGAAAGAUGAAAAGCACUUUGGAAAGAGAGUUAAACAGUACGUGAAAUUGCUGAAAGGGAAACACUUGAAGUCAGUCGCGUUGUUCAGAACUCAGCCUGGCCUCGGCUUGGUGCAUUUUCUGAACGACGGGCCAGCAUCAAUUUUGAYCGUUGGAUAAAGGCCAGAGAAAUGUGGCUCCUUUGGGAGUGUUAUAGUCUUUGGUUGCAUACAAUGGUUGGGAUUGAGGUACUCAGCAUGCCUUUAUGGUCGGGGUUCGCCCACGUUCAUGCUUAGGAUGCUGGCGUAAUGGCUUUAAAUGACCCGUCUUGAAACACGGACCAAGGAGUCUAACAUGCCUGCGAGUGUUUGGGUGGAAAACCCGAGCGCGCAAUGAAAGUGAAAGUUGGGAUCCCUGUCGUGGGGAGCACCGACGCCCGGACCAGACCUUCUGUGACGGAUCCGCGGUAGAGCAUGUAUGUUGGGACCCGAAAGAUGGUGAACUAUGCCUGAAUAGGGUGAAGCCAGAGGAAACUCUGGUGGAGGCUCGUAGCGAUUCUGACGUGCAAAUCGAUCGUCAAAUUUGGGUAUAGGGGCGAAAGACUAAUCGAACCUUUUGGUCC
Molecule: ribosomal RNA, 932 nt
Filed under: Meripilus vitreosanguineus
Lineage: Eukaryota; Fungi; Basidiomycota; Agaricomycetes; Polyporales; Meripilaceae
Description: Physisporinus sp. CGW-2022n partial large subunit ribosomal RNA
Source: RNAcentral